This 870-nucleotide long non-coding RNA is filed under the name Onthophagus taurus. RNAcentral's name for it is "uncharacterized LOC111426698, transcript variant X1". Lineage: Eukaryota; Metazoa; Arthropoda; Insecta; Coleoptera; Scarabaeidae. The record is from RNAcentral.
UAUCACUUUGACGUUUAAAAAUCCACCAGUUGCGUUUGUUCCUAAAGUUGUGAAAUUUUCCGAAAAAAAAUGUAAUUGGACGGUUUUGAAAGAAGACUUUUCUUCAGAAAUUAAUGAAAAAAAUUUAAGUAGAACAUAACCUCACUUCUUAAAUCGUCGAUUUUAAAUAUAUAAACAAUUAAUAUUUGAAAUUGGGGCGAUUUAUUACAACGUAAAGCUGUUGCCAACCCCAUCUAGCGGUGACUACCCAUAUUAAGUUGUCAUUUUGACGUUUAAAAACCACCAGUCGCGUUUCUUCCCUAACUUGUGAAAUUUUACAAAAAAAUGUUUAAUUGGAUGGUUAUAGGAAAAUAUUUUUGCUCCCGAAAUUAAUGAAAGAAAAUGUUGGUGGAAUAUAACCUCCCUUCUUUAAAUCAGGGGUUAAUAAAUUUAAUUUAAUUUGGUGUUAUGUUACAAUAUGGUAAAAGCUGAUCAAAACAGUUCUAAUCAAGUAAAAAUAUUCCACAGAUCAUAAUCAUCGAGAAAGAAUUAAAGAAAUCGAUUUAGAAGAUUUUUGAAUUUGUUACUAAGACACCACGAAACAGAAAAGGCUUAUUGUUACAGAAUGAAACACGAAAAAGAAUCAAGAAUGGAGUUGGUCAUCAACAAAGUAAAAUUGAUCGGCAAUAAUUUAUUACCGAUAUUAUUUAAAAGAUUGAUAAAAUCGAAAAUUUAAUUAGAAACGAAAUUAAAAGUAGAUAUUAAUGGAAUAUUUCGAAACGAUUGAGAAGAUGAAAAAUUGGUAAAAUUAAGAUGGUUUUGUAUAUGGUAUGUAUUUCUGAUCAUAGAUGGCAGUUAAAUUUUUACGUAAGAAUAAAAUUUUUUAGUAAA